GGAGGAAAAGAAACCAACAGGGAUUGCCCCAGUAACGGCGAGUGAAGCGGCAACAGCUCAAAUUUGAAAUCUGGCUUUCGGGCCCGAGUUGUAAUUUGUAGAGGAUGCUUUUGGCGCGGUGCCUUCCGAGUUCCCUGGAACGGGACGCCACAGAGGGUGAGAGCCCCCUACGGUCGGACACCAAGCCUCUGUAAAGCUCCUUCGACGAGUCGAGUAGUUUGGGAAUGCUGCUCUAAAUGGGAGGUAUAUCUCUUCUAAAGCUAAAUAUAGGCCAGAGACCGAUAGCGCACAAGUAGAGUGAUCGAAAGAUGAAAAGCACUUUGAAAAGAGGGUUAAAAAGUACGUGAAAUUGUUGAAAGGGAAGGGCUUGUGACCAGACUUGUGCCGGGUUGAUCAUCCGCGGUUCUCCCGCGGUGCACUCUCCCCGGUCCAGGCCAGCGUCGGUUCUGGCAGGGGGACAAAAGCUUGGGGAACGUGGCUCCUCCGGGAGUGUUAUAGCCCCUCGCCCAAUGCCCCUGCCGGGACCGAGGUUCGCGCUCUGCAAGGACGCUGGCAUAAUGGUCAUCAGCCACCCG
This 575-nucleotide ribosomal RNA is filed under the name Coniochaeta sp. W3a2. RNAcentral describes it as "eukaryotic LSU rRNA". It matches the Rfam family "Eukaryotic large subunit ribosomal RNA", at positions 52 to 651 of the family's 3401-position model. The record is from RNAcentral. Lineage: Eukaryota; Fungi; Ascomycota; Sordariomycetes; Coniochaetales; Coniochaetaceae.